AACGAACGCUGGCGGCAUGCCUAACACAUGCAAGUCGAACGAGAUCUUCGGGUCUAGUGGCGCACGGGUGCGUAACGCGUGGGAAUCUGCCCUUUGGUUCGGAAUAACAGUUGGAAACGACUGCUAAUACCGGAUGAUGACGAAAGUCCAAAGAUUUAUCGCCAGAGGAUGAGCCCGCGUAGGAUUAGCUAGUUGGUGUGGUAAAGGCGCACCAAGGCGACGAUCCUUAGCUGGUCUGAGAGGAUGAUCAGCCACGCUGGGACUGAGACACGGCCCAGACUCCUACGGGAGGCAGCGGUGGUGAAUAUUGGACAAUGGGCGAAAGCCUGAUCCAGCAAUGCCGCGUGAGUGAUGAAGGCCUUAGGGUUGUAAAGCUCUUUUACCCGGGAUGAUAAUGACAGUACCGGGAGAAUAAGCUCCGGCUAACUCCGUGCCAGCCGCCGCCGUAA
This 449-nucleotide ribosomal RNA is filed under the name uncultured bacterium. RNAcentral's name for it is "partial 16S ribosomal RNA". It matches the Rfam family "Bacterial small subunit ribosomal RNA", at positions 29 to 523 of the family's 1533-position model. The record is from RNAcentral.